Molecule: non-coding RNA, 599 nt
Organism: Nerophis lumbriciformis (worm pipefish)
Lineage: Eukaryota; Metazoa; Chordata; Actinopteri; Syngnathiformes; Syngnathidae
Source: RefSeq, a predicted model, not a curated record
ACGUGUUGCACGGUGACACGCUGCGUAUCGUUUUCUUGUUCAGACGGUCUCGUGACUCCUUCUGGUCCGUGACGGCACAAAAGCCGCCAGUCCGGUUGUGGUGCCUGCUCGACGAGUGUUGUGGGACUAGAUAAUGAGCAUCUCAGACUGUGAUGGACGCCAUGCAGACCUGGAGCUUCCUCCACAGUGGGAAAGAUGCAAGACCCUCAAGGUUACAGUCACACAACCACAGACCUUCGCAUGGGUGGCUGCGGCUUGUGCGAGCGCGACGUCCCGGGACCCCUGCAGCAUGACGGACAUCUCUGAUAGACUCAUAUCACGCAUGACAGAGUAACCCAAGACGUGGCCUAAUUAGCAGGUAAGACCUGAAAGAGGCAGGAUGAAAAUCAAAACUUUAUUAACAGCACAAGCACCAUCAACUUUACCCCCAAGCUUAUUUAUUCAUGGGAUGAUAAGAGGACUUUGGAAACUGCAAGAUAUGCCAAGUUGUCCCCUUUUAACGCACUCAACACAUUCACAGGCCACCCACCUGUGCAGGUAUUCCGCUAAUCCAGGCCAAGAAGCCUUGUCAGGUGGAAGAAAGUCUAUCUUAUCCCAGG